GACCAAGGAGUUUAUCGUGUACGCAAGUCAUUGGGUGAAUAAAACCCAAAGGCGAAAUAAAAGUAAAGAGUUGAGUAUAUAAAAAGAAGUUUUACUUAUUUUUAUUUCUCUCUUUAGGGAAGAUAAAAAAUUAAUUAAUAAUUUAUUAUUAAUAUAAAUUUUUUCGCACUCCCGGGGCGCUUGUUUUAUGCUUUGCAUAUCAAUGCGCACCUAGAGCGUACACGCUGAUACCCGAAAGAUGGUGAACUAUGCCUGGCCAGGACGAAGCCAGGGGAAACCCUGGUGGAGGUCCGCAGCGAUUCUGACGUGCAAAUCGAUCGUCGGAGCUGGGUAUAGGGGCGAAAGACCAAUCGAACCAUCUAGUAGCUGGUUCCCUCUGAAGUUUCCCUCAGGAUAGCUUGCGCUCAGUUGAGACGAGUCUCAUCCGGUAGAGCGAAUGAUUAGAGGCAUUGGGGUCGAAACGACCUCAACCUAUUCUCAAACUCCAAAUAGAUGAGACCCCCGGCUUUCUUAAAAUUGAAGCCGUGGGAAUAGGAUCAGAGUGCCAAGUGGGCCAAUUUUGGUAAGCAGA
Molecule: ribosomal RNA, 571 nt
Filed under: Coranus sp. 00001510
Lineage: Eukaryota; Metazoa; Arthropoda; Insecta; Hemiptera; Reduviidae
Description: eukaryotic LSU rRNA
Rfam family: Eukaryotic large subunit ribosomal RNA
Source: RNAcentral